This 252-nucleotide ribosomal RNA is filed under the name uncultured bacterium. RNAcentral describes it as "partial 16S ribosomal RNA". It matches the Rfam family "Bacterial small subunit ribosomal RNA", at positions 524 to 776 of the family's 1533-position model. The record is from RNAcentral.
UACGUAGGGUGCGAGCGUUAAUCGGAAUUACUGGGCGUAAAGCGUGCGCAGGCGGUUCGUUAAGUUCGUUGUGAAAGCCCCGGGCUCAACCUGGGAACUGCAAUGGAAACUGGCGGGCUUGAGUGUGGCAGAGGGGGGGUGGAAUUCCGCGUGUAGCAGUGAAUGCGUAGAGAUGCGGAGGACACCGAUGGCGAAGGCAGCCCCCUGGGCCAACACUGACGCUCAGGCACGAAAGCGUGGGGAGCAAACAGG